CAAUAGCGUAUAUUUAAGUUGUUGCAGUUAAAAAGCUCGCAGUUGGAUUUCGGAUGGGAUUUGCCGGUCCGUCGUUACGAUGUGCACUGGCCAGUCCUAUCUUGUUGUCGGGGACUAGCUCCUUGGAUUCACUUCCUGGGACUAGGAGCUGACGAGGUUACUUUGAGUAAAUUUGAGUGUUCAAAGCAAGCCUACGCUCUGAAUACAUUAGCAUGGAAUAACACGAUAGGACUCUGGCUUAUCUUGUUGGUCUGUGAGACCAGAGUAAUGAUUAAGAGGGACAGUCGGGGACAUUCGUAUUUCAUUGUCAGAGGUGAAAUUCUUGGAUUUAUGAAAGACGAACUUCUGCGAAAGCAUUUGUCAAGGAUGUUUUCAUUA
Molecule: ribosomal RNA, 378 nt
Filed under: uncultured eukaryote
Lineage: Eukaryota
Description: partial 18S ribosomal RNA
Rfam family: Eukaryotic small subunit ribosomal RNA
Source: RNAcentral